AUCUACAGCCCUGCUACCCUGAACAAGCCCAAUCUCGUCUGAUCUUGGAAGCUUAGCAGGGUUGGGCCUGGUUAGUAUUUGGAUGUGGAACUACUAGGAAGACGAGGUGCUGUAGGCG
Molecule: ribosomal RNA, 118 nt
Organism: Pteropus vampyrus (large flying fox)
Lineage: Eukaryota; Metazoa; Chordata; Mammalia; Chiroptera; Pteropodidae
Source: Ensembl